This 720-nucleotide long non-coding RNA is filed under the name Equus caballus (horse). RNAcentral describes it as "lncRNA (ENSECAG00000048084.1)". Lineage: Eukaryota; Metazoa; Chordata; Mammalia; Perissodactyla; Equidae. The record is from RNAcentral.
AGGGCAGAGAGGAGAGCCUGCAGAAGAAGCAGUGGACCACGGUACUGGUUCUGGAAGUUCUGAGCCCCUUCUGGCUGAGGAGCAGGGAGUACCUAUUUGAGAUCUUUGGAACAGGUGUGAGAACUGCAAGGUCAUAAACAAUCAAAUGACUGACCACUAUGGCAGACUAAUCACCGCCUACAUGAAGUUAGCCUUUGCACAUUUGAUAUGAUUUCACAAUGAUGUUCAAGCCGGGAACGAACAACCUGUUGGGUGCAGAUGAACCAUCUACAGUGUUCAUUAAUUUCCAAGAAUCACCUUGAAUCACUGAGGUCAAAAGGAAAAGCAGGUAACAAAUUUCACUUAAGAAUCCAGGGGCCAGCCCGGUGGCGCAGCAGUUAAGUUCGCAAGUUCUGCUUCUUGGCAGCCUGGGGUUCUCCAGGAAGAUGGGCAUGGAUGUUAGCUCAGGGCCAGUCUUCCUCAGCAAAAAGAGGAAGAUUGGCAGUAGUUAGCUCAGGGCUAAUCUUCCUCAAGAAAAAAAAAAAGAAUCCAAUAAAAAUCCUGAAGAGUCCCAUUAGCUGUGUGAUUUAAGAGCUUAACUGUGAUAUGAACUUACUUCUGACUCUUGGGUGAAAUAUUUGCCCUCUUUGCACCAGUGUAACUCUGUAAAUUAAUAUUAACCAAUAUACUGAUUUUAUAACUGGAAGGGACACACCGUCAAGAUCAUUUUGUUGAUCUCCU